RNAcentral lists this ribosomal RNA (419 nucleotides) under uncultured Glomeromycotina. RNAcentral's name for it is "SSU rRNA". It matches the Rfam family "Eukaryotic small subunit ribosomal RNA", at positions 675 to 1092 of the family's 1831-position model. Lineage: Eukaryota; Fungi; Glomeromycota. The record is from RNAcentral.
UCGUACUGGCAUUGUUGGUUUCUCCCUUCUGACGAACCAUGAUGUCAUUUAUUUGGUGUUGUGGGGAAUCAGGACUGUUACUUUGAAAAAAUUAGAGUGUUUAAAGCAGGCUCACGCUUGAAUACAUUAGCAUGGAAUAAUGAAAUAGGACGUUUGAUUCUAUUUUGUUGGUUUCUAGGAUCGACGUAAUGAUUAAUAGGGAUAGUUGGGGGCAUUAGUAUUCAAUUGUCAGAGGUGAAAUUCUUGGAUUUAUUGAAGACUAACUACUGCGAAAGCAUUUGCCAAGGAUGUUUUCAUUAAUCAUGAACAAAAGUUAGGGGAUCGAAGACGAUCAGAUACCGUCGUAGUCUUAACCAUAAACUAUGCCGACUAGGGAUCGGAUGAUGUUAAUUUUUUAAUGACUCAUUCGGCGCCUUACG